ACUUGGCAUCACCUCAAAAGCCGUGUAAGAGUGCAUCAAAAGUAAAGCGCUGUGGCUGGUCUGUAGUGGUUAGAUUGACCGCCACAGCAGCUUGAGUCAAACAUAUCUGCAGAUAAUAAAGAUCCUCUGAUGAUGAUACUGAUGGAAAUGUUGUGUUUAUGGUGACGGAAAGAGCACGAAAGACCCUGGGUACGAGGUUGAAAUCUGAGUUGUUAAUACGCGUUAUAUCAGGUUCGUGUCGGUGAAUGUCUGCAAGCAUAGGUACAUGAGGUGUAGUUCGUGAAUGGUGUGGCUUCCCUUCGAAAUUUAGUCCUAAUUGACUCGAGUCCUUGGAUCCACAUGCACUGACCGCAAUACAUCUUCUAAUAACAGUCGUGCAAAGGGCUGGUUUCAAUUUAGGAAAAAGCAAAACUUACUGGGCUACUUGCAUGUAUAACUAAACAGUAAAAACGUGGUGGUAGAAAUUGUUGCAAAAUAUUUUUUUUUCCCGUUUAGACCAGAUAAAAAUAAUGAACUAUGUAGGUGACUGGUUGAUGAUUAACUGACAUUCAGGCCAACAUGUUUUAAUCUUCCGUUAAGUUUUACAAAAUUUGUUUUAUCGUAUUGUGUUUGUUUUUCCCUUAAAGAGUAAUGUCAUGCAGAUAUACUCAGAUUAAGUGGGAUAUAUAAUAUAAGACUUGGAAUGCGCGUGAAAUAUUAUUUUACUAGCUACCGAAAUAUAACUAAAUAAAGUAGAUUUAUAGCAUUUUGUAAUUUUGUUAAGGUUGCUUGCUGCAUUCCCAACGAGUAGCUCUGUCGGCAAAACUAGGUUAUAUUCGGAGUCGGUAAAUAAUAGAUAGCGCCACUGGCAGACUUGAUGGCAACACCCAACAAUUACGCCCAUUUCGUCGAUCAAUGAACGCAAGCUUUGAAAAUUGAACAGCCGGGACAGUACACGGCCCUGACAGAAAACG
Long non-coding RNA from Dendronephthya gigantea, 953 nucleotides. RefSeq lists it as uncharacterized. The record is from RefSeq and is a predicted model, not a curated record. NCBI's taxonomy places the organism in Eukaryota, Metazoa, Cnidaria, Anthozoa, Malacalcyonacea, Nephtheidae. The transcript is spliced from 3 exons.